CAACCUUGCGGCCGUACUCCCCAGGCGGUCAACUUCACGCGUUAGCUUCGUUACUGAGUCAGUGAAGACCCAACAACCAGUUGACAUCGUUUAGGGCGUGGACUACCAGGGUAUCUAAUCCUGUUUGCUCCCCACGCUUUCGUGCAUGAGCGUCAGUACAGGUCCAGGGGAUUGCCUUCGCCAUCGGUGUUCCUCCGCAUAUCUACGCAUUUCACUGCUACACGCGGAAUUCCAUCCCCCUCUACCGUACUCUAGCUAUGCAGUCACAAAUGCAGGUCCCAGGUUGAGCCCGGGGAUUUCACAUCUGUCUUACAUAACCGCCUGCGCACGCUUUACGCCCAGUAAUUCCGAUUAACGCUCGCACCCUACGUAUUACCGCGGCUGCUGGCACGUAGUUAGCCGGUGCUUAUUCUUACGGUACCGUCAUUAGCCCCUUGUGUUAGAAAGGACCGUUUCGUUCCGUACAAAAGCAGUUUACAACCCGAAGGCCUUCAUCCUGCACGCGGCAUUGCUGGAUCAGGCUUGCGCCCAUUGUCCAAAAUUCCCCA
This 548-nucleotide ribosomal RNA is filed under the name uncultured bacterium. RNAcentral describes it as "partial 16S ribosomal RNA". The record is from RNAcentral.